GAUUAACGCUGGCGGCGUGCCUAACACAUGCAAGUCGAGCGGCAGCGAGUUUUACACUGACUUCUGGAAGCUUCUAGUUGAAAGAGAAGAUUGAUUCAAGAAUUUUGUGUAAAAUGUCGGCGAGCGGCGGACGGCUGAGUAACGCGUGGGAACGUAACCCAAAGUGAGGGAUAACGCAUCGAAAGGUGUGCUAAUACCGAAUAUGGUCUUCGGAUUAAAGCCUUCGGGCGCUUUGGGAACGGCCUGCGUAAGAUUAGAUAGUUGGUGGGGUAAUGGCCUACCAAGUCGACGAUCGUUAACUGGUUUAAGAAGAGAAUCAGUCAAACUGGAACUCGCACACGUGCCACACUCCUACGGGAGGCAACAGUGAGCAAUCUACCACAAUCGGCGAAAGCCUGAUGCAGCAACGCCGCGUGCAGGAUGAAGGCCUUCGUGUUCUAACCUGCUUUUAUAAGUGAGGAUUAUAACAGUAACUUAUGAAUAAGGAGCGGCUAACUACGU
Molecule: ribosomal RNA, 501 nt
Filed under: uncultured bacterium
Lineage: Bacteria
Description: partial 16S ribosomal RNA
Rfam family: Bacterial small subunit ribosomal RNA
Source: RNAcentral